CACUCCUGCGGGAGGCAGCAGUGGGGAAUUUUGGACAAUGGGCGAAAGCCUGAUCCAGCAAUGCCGCGUGCAGGAUGAAGGCCUUCGGGUUGUAAACUGCUUUUGUACGGAACGAAAAAGCUCCUUCUAAUACAGGGGGCCCAUGACGGUACCGUAAGAAUAAGCACCGGCUAACUACGUGCCAGCAGCCGCGGUAAUACGUAGGGUGCGAGCGUUAAUCGGAAUUACUGGGCGUAAAGCGUGCGCAGGCGGUUAUGUAAGACAGAUGUGAAAUCCCCGGGCUCAACCUGGGAACUGCAUUUGUGACUGCAUGGCUAGAGUACGGUAGAGGGGGAUGGAAUUCCGCGUGUAGCAGUGAAAUGCGUAGAUAUGCGGAGGAACACCGAUGGCGAAGGCAAUCCCCUGGACCUGUACUGACGCUCAUGCACGAAAGCGUGGGGAGCAAACAGGAUUAGAUACCCCGGUAGUCCCAU
RNAcentral lists this ribosomal RNA (473 nucleotides) under uncultured organism. RNAcentral describes it as "partial 16S ribosomal RNA". It matches the Rfam family "Bacterial small subunit ribosomal RNA", at positions 334 to 798 of the family's 1533-position model. The record is from RNAcentral.